Molecule: transfer RNA, 71 nt
Filed under: Loxodonta africana (African savanna elephant)
Lineage: Eukaryota; Metazoa; Chordata; Mammalia; Proboscidea; Elephantidae
Rfam family: tRNA
About the family: Transfer RNA (tRNA) molecules are approximately 80 nucleotides in length. Their secondary structure includes four short double-helical elements and three loops (D, anti-codon, and T loops).
Source: Rfam by way of RNAcentral
GCAGUGGUGUUUCAGUGGUAGAAUUCUCACCUUCCAUGUAGGAGACCCAGGUUUAAUUCCCAGCCAAUGCA